RNAcentral lists this long non-coding RNA (654 nucleotides) under Triticum aestivum (bread wheat). RNAcentral describes it as "long non-coding RNA (TAES_LNC022271)". The record is from RNAcentral. Lineage: Eukaryota; Viridiplantae; Streptophyta; Magnoliopsida; Poales; Poaceae.
AGCGGUGGCUAUGUGCACACGUUCAAAUUUGCGUCACGACAUGUGCUUGAUUACAGGAGGUCAGACCGCCAUCGGCCGCUAUCAUCUUUGCGCUGCACCCUUGGCCAUCGAUGCUACUGCUCUGUAGAUAUAACAUUCAUCACUUCCACAGGUCACAAAAAAUGGCAAAAGGAAACCGCUUGCAGAAAUCAUGUAGGAUAGAUACAAAAAACAAUUACUUCAGGUCAACACCUAGAGGAUGGUCGGUGACCAAGAACAUCAUGUGUACCGUGGCCUCCGCCCUCCACCACUUAUCCACAAGAAAUACUGUUUGUUGUUGGGGAGAUGGAGAAGUUGUCGUCAGAAUGAAAGCUGGACCCCAACUGAUAACACAUGAACGUACCUCUGGAAUAAAAUGGAUCAUGCUCCUUUUGUAUUACAUCGGAUCCUCUUUUGUGUUUCUCAAAAGAUCUGCAGCAUAUUGAGUACUAAUUCUCAAAAGACUGGAUCCAAUCAAUGAGAGGAUGAACAACUACCAAUGGAGGCUGCUGCCGAGCGAGCUCCUUCUCUUGGAGGGUGAUGUAGUCCGCCGCAGUCGGUGUCAUGCCAGCCGUCGCUGUUGUCGCCGCAGCCGUGCCAGCCGUCGCCGCUGCCGCCGCAUGCCACAAAUGAGAU